CCUACGGGGAGCAGCAGUGAGGAAUAUUGGUCAAUGGACGCAAGUCUGAACCAGCCAUGCCGCGUGCAUGAAGACGGCCCUAUGAGUUGUAAAUUGCUUUUGUACGAGGGUAAGCGCAGAUACGCGUAUCUGUCUGAAAGUACCGUACGAAUAAGGAUCGGCUAACUCCGUGCCAGCAGCCGCGGUAAUACGGAGGAUUCAAGCGUUAUCCGGAUUGAUUGGGUUUAAAGGGGACGUAGGCGGUCCGAUAAGUUAGAGGUGAAGUCCCGAGGCUCAACUUCGGAAUUGCCUCUGAUACUGUUCGGCUAGAGAGUAGUUGAGGUGGGUGGAAUGUAUGGUGUAGCGGUGAAAUGCUUAGAGAUCAUACAGAACACCGAUUGCGAAGGCAGCUUCCCAAGCUACGUCUGACGUUGAGGCACGAAAGCGUGGGGAGCAAACAGGAUUAGAUACCCUAGUAGUC
RNAcentral lists this ribosomal RNA (460 nucleotides) under uncultured bacterium. RNAcentral describes it as "partial 16S ribosomal RNA". It matches the Rfam family "Bacterial small subunit ribosomal RNA", at positions 338 to 795 of the family's 1533-position model. The record is from RNAcentral.